GACGAACGCUGGCGGCGUGCCUAAUACAUGCAAGUCGAGCGGACGGAUGGGAGCUUGCUCCCAGACCGUCAGCGGCGGACGGGUGAGUAACACGUUGGCAACCUGCCUGUAAGACUGGGAUAACUCCGGGAAACCGGGGCUAAUACCGGAUAACUCUUUCCCUCACAUUAGUGAAAGCUGAAAGAUGGCAUCUCGCUAUCACUUACAGAUGGUCCCGCGGCGCAUUAGCUAGUUGGUGAGGUAACGGCUCACCAAGGCGACGAUGCGUAGCCGACCUGAGAGGGUGAUCGGCCACACUGGGACUGAGACACGGCCCAGACUCCUACGGGAGGCAGCAGUAGGGAAUCUUCCGCAAUGGACGAAAGUCUGACGGAGCAACGCCGCGUGAGUGAUGAAGGUUUUCGGAUCGUAAAACUCUGUUGUCAGGGAAGAACAAGUACCGGAGUAACUGCGGGUACCUUGACGGUACCUGACCAGAAAGCCACGGCUAACUACGUG
Molecule: ribosomal RNA, 498 nt
Filed under: uncultured bacterium
Lineage: Bacteria
Description: partial 16S ribosomal RNA
Rfam family: Bacterial small subunit ribosomal RNA
Source: RNAcentral